Long non-coding RNA from Equus asinus (donkey), 2785 nucleotides. Lineage: Eukaryota; Metazoa; Chordata; Mammalia; Perissodactyla; Equidae. The record is from Ensembl.
GGAGGCGGCGGAGACGGCGGAGGCGGCGGGGCCCGACGAGCGAGCCCAGGAGCCGCCGAACUCCGCUCUGGGGCCCCGAGGGCCGCGGCCGCGGCGGGGUCUCGGACCCGGAAGCAAAUGGACCGGAAGUGACGCGCGCCGCGGCCCCAGGAUGGCGGCUGGCCGGGUUGUCAUGGGAACCGGUCUGAGCCGGGCGGCGGAGGCUCAGAGCUGUGAGCGCAGCCCGCGGACCGCGGCUUCCGCCGCCCGGACUUGCCCCCCUCCAGGUGACCGAGAGCUGCGCUCCCGACCGCGCCUGAGCUGAUGGCUGGACCCCCUCGCCCCAUUUUACGGACGGAAAUACCGAGAGCAAGUGAGAUGCGCGGGAUCACGCGAGACUGAAUCCCGCCUUGGGAGCAUUGUUGACGUUACAGGCUGUCGUUAAGACCGGGGCCCCAACUUUGCCUUUGCCACUUCCUAGCUGCGUGACACGGGGCAAAUUACUUAACCUCUCUGAGCCUCAGCUUUUUCACCUGUAAAAUGGAACAAUUGUACCGCCUCCUGGGAUUCAUGUGAGAAUUAAUAUAUAGAAACCAGUUAUUACAGUAGUUGGCGUAUAGUAGAGAUCUAAAUACAUUUUGUUUUUUUAAGUAGUUAAGUCAAAGAAAAUGACCGGUCUCUGCCCUCAACUUCCCUUGGGGAAAACGAUGCCAAAAUAUUGCCUCCUAGCCUUGUGACUUUUCACCAGGCACCUGCAGUACCUGCGUGGUCUACACUGACGUUAAUCCUGGUAGCUUGUCAUUUCACUUCGUGGAUUUGUCUAUACUCCCACCCACCACGUUGACUCUGGGCUCCCCGAGGACUCGGCUUUUGUGGGUCACCACUCACUGAAUCCCUAGUGUUUGCAAAGUGCCUGGCACGUACUCAAGACUGUGUUGAACACGUUUGCGAUUGAACCGUUCAUUCUCUCUCUCUAACUUACUCCAGCCACUUAUUCAAGACUCAGAGCCCACCCCAUGCCAAGUUCUCUUCCUCCACGUGCUCUUGGCUCCCUGCACUUACCGUGCUCUUCCACCCUUCUGCCUCUGAGCCUCUAUAUGCUCUUCCCUCAGUGUGAAUGUUCUUCCCCUCACCUCCUUCCUUGCUUUCUUGACUUCCAGCCCCAGCUCAGUCCUCACAUCCUUUCUGAAGCGUUUUCUGAUUCCUCCAGGCAAAGAUCCACCUUCCUCUGGUUCCCCACAACACUGUCUUUCAUAAUUUUAUCUGAGCUCUUACUGCAGUGGAUUAUAUGUAUUUUUAAACCUGACACCCCCACAAGACCUGGCGCUCCUUACUCCUCUGUGUUUCCCCUGAGCUCUGCACAUGUCUGAUCAGGAGGCGCCCAACAGAUGUUCCUUGGCUGCAGGACUCUUUGUCCCAGCCUUGGUGUCCCCAGCUGAAGCCGGGGGGUCUUGUCUCAGGAGGGAAUGACAUCGUACCUGGGGAAGCAUUUGGAGAAGGAGCAGCCUGCUGUUCCUGCAGCAGCAGUGACUAUAUUUAUCUGGUGCUGUCCUAGCACCGCACAAGGUCUUUGUGCACUUCAGCCUUUAUCAGCUCAGGUUUAAGCUCCUCUCUUAAUCACCUGCAAGGGAAUGGUGUUUACAGGGAUUCCAGCUGAGAAAAACUGGCCCACCUGAAUUCUCUGCCUUUGCAGCAACUCACAACUGACCUUUGGAAACUGUUGCGGGACUGCAUGAGACUGCUAAUAAGUCCCUUGCAGCUCCGUGGUUCUGUGGCAGCCAAAAGGGAAACAGAGUUUGCAGAAGGCUUUACCAGUAGGAAACCCUGGUCAUCGAGACUCGGUGACAUUUCAUAUCAGAAAAGACCCAAAGUCUCCGAAGAGAGUCGUGUGUCUCAUCUUUUAGACGAGGUUGAAGGCCUGAGAUUCCUCUGCUUGGUAAUGUGGAACCGCAUGAGCAUCUCUCCAGAUUUUAUUACAUAAUGAUUCGCAGGUUAUGUAACAGUCAUGACAAUGAUCAGGCACCUCUACUUGCUAAGAGCCAACAACACGAACAAUCUACCUACUUCUUUCUAUUUUUUAGGCGUUUUUCUCAUCACAAAAGUAGCACAUGAAUUCCAAUGAUGCAGACGUGUGUAGAACGAAAAAUGAAAAAGAAAAGCAACCCUAGGACCCAGCAGUUUGAUUUCUUGGAAUCUACUAGAGAAACCAGCGUACAUGCACCAAGAAACCUGUUGCGUCGUUGUUUGUAAUGCAAAAUCAAAACCAGAACCAUGCUAAAUGUCCGUCAGUAGGGGAGUGGUGUGUCCGUGCUGAUGACUAGGGUGUGUCACUGAAAAAGAUGAUGGAAACCUGUGUACCUCUGCAGGACGUGCCCUGAAAUGGAAACCGUAUUGUCUAAGGGAUAAUGCGUGGGGAGAACUUGACCCAAAGCCUGGAAGAGAGUCAGCCUGCAGGCGGUGUUGUCCAUGAUGAGGGUCAUUGCUGUGCAACACGAAUGUGCCGGGAGCUGGCAAUUCUGUCUGCUGCUCAAAGCUCAGCAUUCAUUCUGACCUCCCACAGGUGGAGGCAGCGCUGGGGGAGGUUCGUAGCCCGAAGAGGCAUGCCUGGAAAUGAAGCUGGCACAGUGAGCUUCUUCACUAUCACAUUAUUCACAAUAGCCAAGACGUGGAAGCAACCCAAGUGCCCACUGAGUGAUGAACGGAUAAAGAAGAUGCGGCUAAGUACAGUAAGCCACAAUGAGCAGGGGCGGUAAAUGCUUGAGGAACAGGAAAGAAUAAGAGAGGCAGCGUUCACCUUGCCGGCCAG